Molecule: long non-coding RNA, 3403 nt
Filed under: Heterocephalus glaber (naked mole-rat)
Lineage: Eukaryota; Metazoa; Chordata; Mammalia; Rodentia; Bathyergidae
Description: lncRNA (ENSHGLG00100033737.1)
Source: RNAcentral
UGGAAGUCAAGUGAUAUUCUAGCCACCGCAGUAGGUUUUAAGUUUUCACUGAUUCCCAAGCACCAAGGGAACCUAGCUGCUAACAGCAGACGGAGCCCUGAGUGGACUGAACUGUGUCUUCUCCCACAUCCGCACGCUCAGGUCCCAACUCCCAUGGAACUCCUGGACACGGGCCCUCCCGGGGGGUCACGUGGUUAAGUGGGGACCUGGGGUCUCAAUCUGUCAGGGUAGAGACACAGCAAGAGGCAGACGGCGACAAGGCAAGAAGAGACACCCCACCAGAAAGCCAGCCAGCCACGCCCCCUGGACUUCCCAGCAGGCAGAGCUGAGAAAAUCACUGGCUGCUGCAGACACCCAGCCCAUGAUACUGGGUCAGGGCAGCCAGAGCACAAGAACACGGAGCUGCUCAGAAGCCAGGCCCGGCUGUUUCCUCCUCUAUGUAGGUCCUCAGCACAGAGCCCUCAGAUGUGCUAAUCUGCUUAUCAUUUAUAUAUAUGGACGCUUGCAUUAUCUUAAAACAUGAAAAAAAGAAAGACAUUUUUGGCAGAAAAGAAAUAAACAGAAAUAGAAGUUUUGGCAUGUUCUUCUCCCUGCCGCAGGCCAACCAUCCCGGCACCUGCAAAUGUAACCUCAGAAACAGGAUCUUGUGACUGCAGUCAGGGUUAGCUGCAUUCAUGUUGGAUAAAGGAGCCCCUGAUUCCUACACGAAGAGGGAUUCUGCACAGGGACACACAGGAGAGAAGGCCAUAUGACGAUGGGCAGAGAGCGGAGCGAGUGUGGCAGCCAUAAACUCGGGGGCACCAAGGGCUGCCCCAGGCCACCAGAAGGAUGAGAGCGGAAGAGCAGAUCCUUCCCAAGCAUCUCUGGCGGGAACGGUCUUAAGGACACUUCACCAUCAGACUUCUGGCCUCCACUCCACCUGAGAGAGAAUGCAGAAUACAUCUGUAUGGUUUGGGGGAACCUGGUUGGCAGCCCCAGAAAAGGAGCACAUCCACACACCCCACUGAAUGAGAAUGAGGAACACAUAAGAAAAAUGUAACCCAUGCACAAAAAGCCAGCUGCUAAACAUCUGAUCACCCUCAUGGUCAUGAUCACAAGAACUCCUGGAAAGCUCAUGAGUCAUGGUAGGUCACUUUUGACCCCAAGGAACGUAACACCUCAGCUCCAGAGUGACACGGAUUGCUGAAACGCGUGGUCAGGAGGGUGAGCUCAGCUGAGUGACACUGUGUGGUGUGGUAAGGGGCUGCGAUGACCUGAAUGCUUGUGUCCCGAAGAAUUCGAAUGCUGGACACCACCCCCAAGGUGGCAAGUGGAGGUGGGAACUGAGCAGUGGGAGGGUUAUGAGCCGAGCGCUGGGGAGGGAGAUUAAUGCUCUAUUAAAGAGGCCCAGGCAUCCCUUGUCUCUCCCACUGUGGGAGCACACAGGGAGAAAGCAGGCUCGCAGACACCAUCUGCCCACACGCUGUCUUGACUUCCAGGCUCCAGAACUGUAAGAAACAAACUUCUGUCGUUAAUAAGCCACAGCACUUACAGAAUUCUGUUACAGCAGCCCAAACAGACUCAGGCGUGAAGAGGAGAAAGCCAUGGAAGGAGAAUUACUUUUGCUCUGUAGGCAGAUGUUCCGUGCUCUGUGUGUGAGGGGCAGAGGUGAGCAGGUAGCAGAGUCUCAAGCCUGGGAGCGUGUCAGUGACUGCUGGGGCCCAGCCCAGCGUGGGGAAACCCCCAAGAAGCUGCAGCCCGAGUCUCCCCAGCAGCCUUCCUUCCCCUGUGAGCUCAGCCUCUGUGCCCUCUGACAGGGCUGUUUCCACCCCUCCAGACCCAAGAGGCCAUGGAGCCCUGUGCACCCUGGGGAUCGCUGUCCACCGUGGAAAACCCAAAGCAUCAACUGCAUGCCCAGUAGGUUGUGGGGACGGGGGCUGCUGGCGACCCUGUGAGCUGUGGGCCACCGCACCAAGGGCUGAAGUCGGUAACCAGGGCUCCGGCACAGGGCCAUGGGGAAGGGAGAUGCCGCAGGUGGCAGCACAGGUAGCAGGUCUCUGGGCCUUCAGGCAACAAGCUGAAGACCUGCUUGAUGCUCAGGUGAGCCCAGGAGCCAUGGUAGGAACCGCACGUUCACCGGGGCUCAUCAAGACUCCAGGCAGCUUUAACGUCCGGAAUUUCAGACAAAGAGUGUAAGUGUAAACCGGAAAUGGAAAAGGCAAAGGGGGGACAGGGAAGCAUGGGAGAAGCAGCAGCUAUAGAAAGCAAGUAACCACCCUUGAGAUGGGGUGGGGCAGGAUUAUCAGAGCUGGGGGCCGGGCCAUGCUGCGGCGUCACCUCUGACAGUAGCACGCUGGAGCUGGUGGGGAGUGUGGGUCAGCAAAGCCCCACUGAGGACCGGUACCUGCUUCUCCAGCGACAGCGCUGUCCAGACUGGAUUUCCAAACAGCGCUGAGUACCUGACCACGGACAAGCUGAUUCACCUUUUGCACCUGGGUUUCAUCUACAAGAUGUGGAUGUGAGCAUCAGCCAGAGACCACUGAGGAGCACAAGGAAUGCAGUCAACAAGUGGAACAGCACAGCUUUCAACAGAAAAGAUCUCAACCCACACGGAGGAAUGAUCUACCAAACAGGCUGCGUGGGCCUUUUGACCACGUCAAGGACAAGAACAGUUGAGAACCAUCGGAAGGAUAAAUCUGAGUCAUUUGUAGGAACACAGAUGCAACUUGACACCAUAAUGCAAACAAAAUGCAGGUGACACAGAAGGUUAACUAUCACAUGGUUUCUCUUAUAUGAAAAACCUAGAGUAUAAAUAAUUUAAAGAACAAAAUGAAAGCCAAUAGGAAACGGGGAGGUAGACCUUUUGCAUAUGGGAAGGCGACCUAGGGAUAGGAAGAGAAGGAAGGCGGGAGGGGAAGCGGAAGUAAAGAGGACUAAGGUGUGGGCUGUAUAGGUGCCAACUCCCCCAGUAAUGUAUUCAUUAUGUAUCAUAAACAUGUAUCAACAAAAGGAAAAAAAAGAACGGCUCGAGAACUGCUGUAAGUUAAAAUCGAGCUAAAGAAAUACAGCCACUAAAUGACUGAUGAUAUAAAAUCAGGAUAGAAUAGUCAAACUGGACAUGACUGGGACAAGUGAUGAAAUUGCGUGUGGCCUGUGGAUUUGAUAAUAUAAUUGUAGCUGUAUUUCCUGCAUUUGACAAUUACAUAGUUGUUUCAUAAAAGAAUAUCCUUGUGCUUAUGAAAUAUACCCUAAAUAUUUAGGAAUAAAAGGACAUGUCUGUGAGCUAUUCUCAAAUGGGUCCAAAAAAAUUGUGUGCAUGAGUGUGAGUGUGUGUGUGUGUGUGUGCCUGUACUAACAAUUGGUGGCUGAGUCUGUAGCAGUUCUUUGUAUCAUCCCACUCAUGCAAGCAAAACAAUGAGCACCU